RNAcentral lists this ribosomal RNA (793 nucleotides) under uncultured bacterium. Its description in RNAcentral is "bacterial SSU rRNA". It matches the Rfam family "Bacterial small subunit ribosomal RNA", at positions 30 to 853 of the family's 1533-position model. The record is from RNAcentral.
UGAACGCUGGCGGCAGGCCUAACACAUGCAAGUCGAACGGAGUUAUAUUGUAGCUUGCUAUGGUAUAACUUAGUGGCAGACGGGUGAGUAAUGUAUAGGAAUCUACCUAGUAGUACGGAAUAAUUGUUGGAAACGGCAACUAAUACCGUAUACGCCCUACGGGGUAAAAAUUUAUUGCUAUUAGAUGAGCCUAUAUUAGAUUAGCUAGUUGGUGGAGUAAUAGCCUACCAAGGCAAUGAUCUAUAGCUGAUCUGAGAGGAUGAUCAGCCACACUGGAACUGAGAUACGGUCCAGACUCCUACGGGAGGCAGCAGUGGGGAAUAUUGGACAAUGGGCGAAAGCCUGAUCCAGCCAUGCCGCAUGAGUGAAGAAGGCCUUUGGGUUGUAAAGCUCUUUUAGUGAGGAAGAUAAUGACGGUACUCACAGAAGAAGUCCUGGCUAACUCCGUGCCAGCAGCCGCGGUAAUACGGAGAGGGCUAGCGUUAUUCGGAAUUAUUGGGCGUAAAGGGCGCGUAGGCGGAUUAGUAAGUUAAAAGUGAAAUCCCAAGGCUCAACCUUGGAAUUGCUUUUAAAACUGCUAAUCUAGAGAUUGAAAGAGGAUAGAGGAAUUCCUAGUGUAGAGGUGAAAUUCGUAAAUAUUAGGAGGAACACCAGUGGCGAAGGCGUCUAUCUGGUUCAAAUCUGACGCUGAAGCGCGAAGGCGUGGGGAGCAAACAGGAUUANAUACCCUGGUAGUCCACGCUGUAAACGAUGAAUGUUAAAUAUGGGGAGUUUUACUUUCUGUAUUACAGCU